GACGUAGGGUGCGAGCGUUGUCCGGAUUUAUUGGGCGUAAAGAGCUCGUAGGCGGCUCGUCGCGUCGACCGUGAAAACCCGCGGCUUAACUGCGGGCCUGCGGUUGAUACGGGCGGGCUAGAGUUCGGUAGGGGAGACUGGAAUUCCUGGUGUAGCGGUGAAAUGCGCAGAUAUCAGGAGGAACACCGGUGGCGAAGGCGGGUCUCUGGGCCGAUACUGACGCUGAGGAGCGAAAGCGUGGGGAGCGAACAGG
This 253-nucleotide ribosomal RNA is filed under the name uncultured bacterium. RNAcentral's name for it is "partial 16S ribosomal RNA". It matches the Rfam family "Bacterial small subunit ribosomal RNA", at positions 524 to 776 of the family's 1533-position model. The record is from RNAcentral.